GGGAUUAUGGCUCAAUGGUAGAGCACGUGCCUAGCACACAUGAGACACUGGGUUCAAUCCUCAGCACCA
Molecule: non-coding RNA, 69 nt
Organism: Ictidomys tridecemlineatus (thirteen-lined ground squirrel)
Lineage: Eukaryota; Metazoa; Chordata; Mammalia; Rodentia; Sciuridae
Source: Rfam